GCCCGGGUGGCGAAAUUGGCAGACGCGCCAGCUUGAGGUGCUGGUGGGCGCAAGCUCUUGCAGGUUCGAAUCCUGUCCCGGGCA
This 84-nucleotide transfer RNA is filed under the name Phycisphaerae bacterium. RNAcentral's name for it is "tRNA-Leu". It matches the Rfam family "tRNA". Rfam says of the family: Transfer RNA (tRNA) molecules are approximately 80 nucleotides in length. Their secondary structure includes four short double-helical elements and three loops (D, anti-codon, and T loops). RNAcentral also lists the same sequence under 2 other names. The record is from RNAcentral. Lineage: Bacteria; Pseudomonadati; Planctomycetota; Phycisphaerae.